This is a non-coding RNA of Oryza glumipatula, 205 nucleotides long. The record is from Rfam. NCBI's taxonomy places the organism in Eukaryota, Viridiplantae, Streptophyta, Magnoliopsida, Poales, Poaceae.
UUUAAGUGCAACCAUGAGUUUUCGUGUCUAACUUUAAUCAUCCGUCUUAUUUAAAUUUUUUUAUAAUUAGUAUUUUUAUUGUUAUGAGAUGAUAAAAUAUGAAUAGUAUACUUUACUCGUAACUUAUGUUUUUAUUUUUUUUCAAAUUUUUUUAAAUAAGACGGACGAUUAAAGUUGGACGCGUAAAACCAUGGCUACACUUAAA